RNA transcript from Macrosteles quadrilineatus (aster leafhopper), 1005 nucleotides. It is a transcript of the gene named peptidoglycan-recognition protein 3-like, with no coding region annotated. The transcript has 4 exons. The record is from RefSeq and is a predicted model, not a curated record. Lineage: Eukaryota; Metazoa; Arthropoda; Insecta; Hemiptera; Cicadellidae.
CAAAGCUUUAUAGCCUGUGUUGAGUAUAGCUACAAAAUGAAGUUUAACAAUACAAAAAUAACAUGAGCAUUCAGUUAAAAUAAACAUGACAACAGACACAUCGGAAGAGUUUGCUAUCAUACCAAGGUUUGAAUGGAGCGGAACUAAAAUAGAACUGUACGAGACUAAAGAUCUUCCUAUAAGGCCGGCUACCAUAGUAUACGCCGCUUCUACACACACAGGGCCUUGCUUCGACCCCCUUUUCUGUGAAGGGACUCUGCGCUUCCUUCAGCAUAAACACUUCUCCAGGUUCCCCACGGAUAUUAGAUUCAAGUAAAUUUCAUGAUUGGAGGGGAUGGGAGGGUGUAUGAAGGAAGGGGGUGGAUGACCCCUCCCAGACUCGCCGCUUUUGCUGUCGCAGAUGCAAUGAGGAGCAUCCUGAUCGGUUUCGUUGGAAUGUACAAAGAGGAUCAGCUUCCUGAUGAGAUGUGUUCUGCAGCCAACAAACUGAUUGAAUACGGGAAGAGAAAUAACUACAUAGAACAAAACUGCCUUUAUAAAAGCAUCACAGAUUUUACUGAUAAAGUAGGCACCCCAAAUCCUGCUGAAGCUAAGUUUGUCUUUUAAGCUAAGAAAUGUUUAGUCACUUCCUAUUUCAUGAAAAACGAUUCUACAGCUAAAGACGCUGCAGGAAAUUUAAAAUAUUUGAUUGUGCGUUCCGUAAGAGUUUACUUUUACGAGUAAUGAUAGUCAAUUAUGCAACAAACUAGUCUAAAUAUAUAUUAUAUUUGUAAAUUACUUUAUGAUCAUUCUAUAGUCGAUAGUAAAAUAAAAAUAUAUGAGGAAGUUGAGGAAGAAUAUAGUCAGACUUAAUGUAAAUCAUCACUAUCCAUUUAAUUUUCUCUGAGGGUCUUUUUCACCUUGAUUUUACUUUAAUAUGAGAAAGAUACUGUAAUAGAAUGUGAAUAUCUAUGUGAAUAUCUAUGUGAAAAUUUAUACAAUAAAGAAGCUAUGGAAAGUGUAAAA